GACGAACGCUGGCGGCGUGCUUAACACAUGCAAGUCGAACGGAAAGGCCCUGCUUUUGUGGGGUGCUCGAGUGGCGAACGGGUGAGUAGCACGUGAGUAACCUGCCCUUGACUUUGGGAUAACUUCAGGAAACUGGGGCUAAUACCGGAUAGGAGCUCCUGCUGCAUGGUGGGGGUUGGAAAGUUUCGGCGGUUGGGGAUGGACUCGCGGCUUAUCAGCUUGUUGGUGGGGUAGUGGCUUACCAAGGCUUUGACGGGUAGCCGGCCUGAGAGGGUGACCGGCCACAUUGGGACUGAGUUACGGCCCAGACUCCUACGGGAGGCAGCAGUGGGGAAUAUUGCACAAUGGGCGGAAGCCUGAUGCAGCAACGCCGCGUGCGGGAUGACGGCCUUCGGGUUGUAAACCGCUUUCGCCUGUGACGAAGCGUGAGUGACGGUAAUGGGUAAAGAAGCACCGGCUAACUACGUG
Molecule: ribosomal RNA, 468 nt
Filed under: uncultured bacterium
Lineage: Bacteria
Description: partial 16S ribosomal RNA
Rfam family: Bacterial small subunit ribosomal RNA
Source: RNAcentral